AAUAAUUCAUGGCCAGAAAGUGGGGAAUUAAUCGCAAAAGACUUAUGAAAAAUUAAGUCCAGUAUGAAAAAAAUCCUCAACCUGUACUACAAAUUGAUAAUUUUGUGAUAAGGAGCGGAGAAAAAGUUGGAAUUGUUGGCAGAACAGGGGCUGGGAAGUCGUCCCUCUUAAUGGCAAUAUUUCGAAUGAUAGAAGCAACAAAGGGAAAUAUAACUCUGUCUGGAGUUGACAUUGCAAAAAUUCCGGUGAAUUAUUUGCGAUCUAAGAUGGCCAUGGUGCCUCAAGAGCCUACGUUUUUUUCUGGCACUCUCCGGUUUAAUUUGGAUCCGUUAGAUUGUUAUACCGACAGUGAAAUAUGGGCCUAUAUUUUCAAGUAACUCCGGACGAUGCAAAGCUAACGUCUGGUUAUAAACAAUUAUUUUGUUUAUCGCGUGCAAUUCUAAGGAGGCCAAAAUUUUUAGUACUUGACGAGGUUACGGCGCAUUGCGAUAAAAAUAUUGAGCAUGUCAUUCAAAACGUUGUGAAAGAGGAAUUUAGGGAAUGUACCGUUCUAAUUGUGGCACACCGCAUCAAAACUUUGCUUG
Molecule: RNA transcript, 584 nt
Organism: Folsomia candida
Lineage: Eukaryota; Metazoa; Arthropoda; Collembola; Entomobryomorpha; Isotomidae
Exons: 5
Source: RefSeq, a predicted model, not a curated record